CGCCUCUUGAAUUCAACCCAUAAGAGGUCCAGCCUGCCCAGUGACUUUGUUCAACGGCCGCGGUAUCCUAACCGUGCGAAGGUAGCGUAAUCACUUGUUCUUUAAAUAAGGACUAGUAUGAAUGGCAUCACGAGGGUUAUACUGUCUCCUUUCUCUAAUCAGUGAAAUUAAUCUUCCCGUGAAGAAGCGGGAAUAAUUUUAUAAGACGAGAAGACCCUAUGGAGCUUCAAACUUUCGCAACAAUUGUUACUAUCUUAAAAAAUCCAAGGAUAACAAAAACUACACUAACUCUAUGUUUGCUGGUUUUCGGUUGGGGUGACCGCGGAGUAAAACUUACCCUCCACGAUGAAUAGGUCCUUACCUUAAGCAAAAAACUACAAUUUUAUGCAUUAUUAUAUUAACACUAUUGACCCAAUUUUUUGAUCAACGAACCAAGUUACCCUAGGGAUAACAGCGCAAUCCAUCUUGAGAGCUCUUAUCGACAGAUGGGCUUACGACCUCGAUGUUGGAUCAGGGUAUCCCAGUGGUGUAGCCGCUACUAAGGGUUCGUUUGUUCAACGAUUA
RNAcentral lists this ribosomal RNA (564 nucleotides) under Cruziohyla calcarifer (splendid leaf frog). Its description in RNAcentral is "LSU rRNA". It matches the Rfam family "Bacterial large subunit ribosomal RNA", at positions 1819 to 2590 of the family's 2925-position model. Lineage: Eukaryota; Metazoa; Chordata; Amphibia; Anura; Hylidae. The record is from RNAcentral.